This 158-nucleotide small RNA is filed under the name Haptolina ericina. Its description in RNAcentral is "partial Betaproteobacteria transfer-messenger RNA". Lineage: Eukaryota; Haptophyta; Prymnesiales; Prymnesiaceae. The record is from RNAcentral.
CGACGGCUCAAUGGACGGUGGUGCGAUCGCCGGCGCCGUCAUCGGCAGCUUGCUCGGCGCGGUGCUCAUCGUUGGCGGUGUCAUGUACUUCGUCAAGGGAGGAGGUGGGGCUGGCAAGGAGCCCGCCGGCGUCACGUUCACCAACGUCAACGCCAACG